This 495-nucleotide ribosomal RNA is filed under the name Mycobacterium nonchromogenicum. RNAcentral's name for it is "Mycolicibacter nonchromogenicus bacterial SSU rRNA". It matches the Rfam family "Bacterial small subunit ribosomal RNA", at positions 31 to 526 of the family's 1533-position model. The record is from RNAcentral. Lineage: Bacteria; Bacillati; Actinomycetota; Actinomycetes; Mycobacteriales; Mycobacteriaceae.
GAACGCUGGCGGCGUGCUUAACACAUGCAAGUCGAACGGAAAGGCCCCUUCGGGGGUACUCGAGUGGCGAACGGGUGAGUAACACGUGGGUGAUCUGCCCUGCACUUUGGGAUAAGCCUGGGAAACUGGGUCUAAUACCGAAUAGGACCGCAUGCUGCAUGGUGUGUGGUGGAAAGCUUUUGCGGUGUGGGAUGGGCCCGCGGCCUAUCAGCUUGUUGGUGGGGUAAUGGCCUACCAAGGCGACGACGGGUAGCCGGCCUGAGAGGGUGUCCGGCCACACUGGGACUGAGAUACGGCCCAGACUCCUACGGGAGGCAGCAGUGGGGAAUAUUGCACAAUGGGCGCAAGCCUGAUGCAGCGACGCCGCGUGGGGGAUGACGGCCUUCGGGUUGUAAACCUCUUUCAGUAUCGGCGAAGCUCCAAGGUUUUCUUUGGGGUGACGGUAGGUACAGAAGAAGCACCGGCCAACUACGUGCCAGCAGCCGCGGGUAAUAC